GCUCCCGUAGCAAAGUGGUUAAUGCGUCGUGCUUAUAAGUUACCGCUUAUGCUAGAGUCACGCGAAGGUCGCGGGUUCGAUCCCCGCCGGGAGCA
Molecule: non-coding RNA, 95 nt
Organism: Massospora cicadina
Lineage: Eukaryota; Fungi; Entomophthoromycota; Entomophthoromycetes; Entomophthorales; Entomophthoraceae
Source: the annotation of a GenBank genome assembly